CCGACAUCCAUCGUUGUUUUUACAGAAUUUGGCAGUAUGUCCAACCAACCUCAAGACCCGCCGACCACGUGUGUAUGGCGUCGUGUGGGCGAGCGGUUUCCUGACGUCAACGUUGAGUGCCCCGCGGUGGGGUUAUGGUAUGGGGCAGGUUUGAGUGCCCCGCGGUGGGGUUAUGGUAUGGGGCAGGUUUGAGUGCCCCGCGGUGGGGUUAUGGUAUGGGGCAGGUUUGAGUGCCCCGCGGUGGGGUUAUGGUAUGGGGCAGGUUUGAGUGCCCCGCGGUGGGGUUAUGGUAUGGGGCAGGUUUGAGUGCCCCGCGGUGGGGUUAUGGUAUGGGGCAGGUUUGAGUGCCCCGCGGUGGGGUUAUGGUAUGGGGCAGGUUUGAGUGCCCCGCGGUGGCGUUAUGGUAUGGGGCAGGUUUGAGUGCCCCGCGGUGGCGGUGGGGUUAUGG
Molecule: long non-coding RNA, 448 nt
Organism: Oncorhynchus keta (chum salmon)
Lineage: Eukaryota; Metazoa; Chordata; Actinopteri; Salmoniformes; Salmonidae
Exons: 7
Source: RefSeq, a predicted model, not a curated record